UACGUAGGGGGCAAGCGUUGUCCGGAAUCAUUGGGCGUAAAGAGCGUGUAGGCGGCUUGGCAAGUCUGGUGUGAAAUCCUGCGGCUCAACCGCAAGCGGUCACUGGAAACUGCCUCGCUAGAGUCCGGAAGAGGAGAGCGGAAUUCCUGGUGUAGCGGUGGAAUGCGCAGAUAUCAGGAAGAACACCCGUGGCGAAGGCGGCUCUCUGGGACGGUACUGACGCUGAGACGCGAAAGCGUGGGGAGCGAACAGG
Molecule: ribosomal RNA, 253 nt
Filed under: uncultured bacterium
Lineage: Bacteria
Description: partial 16S ribosomal RNA
Rfam family: Bacterial small subunit ribosomal RNA
Source: RNAcentral